This 497-nucleotide ribosomal RNA is filed under the name uncultured bacterium. RNAcentral describes it as "partial 16S ribosomal RNA". It matches the Rfam family "Bacterial small subunit ribosomal RNA", at positions 28 to 507 of the family's 1533-position model. The record is from RNAcentral.
GAUGAACGCUGGCGGCGUGCCUAAUACAUGCAAGUCGAGCGAACAGACGAGGAGCUUGCUCCUCUGACGUUAGCGGCGGACGGGUGAGUAACACGUGGAUAACCUCCCUAUAAGACUGGGAUAACUUCGGGAAACCGGAGCUAAUACCGGAUAAUCUAUUGAACCGCAUGGUUCAAUAGUGAAAGACGGUUUUGCUGUCACUUAUAGAUGGAUCCGCGCUGUAUUAGCUAGUUGGUAAGGUAACGGCUUACCAAGGCAACGAGGCGUAGCCGACCGGAGAGGGUGAUCGGCGACAUUGGAGGGGGAACGGCGACCAGACGACUGAGGGACGGAGCAGUAGGGUAUGUGACGCAGCGGGCGAGAGCCUGACGGAGUAGGGGCACGUGUGUGACGAAGGUGUCGGGAGCGGGAAGCCCGGUUAUUAGGGAAGAACCAAUGUGUAGGGAAAUGUGGCGGGCUUGACGGUACUUGGUCAGAAAGCCACGGCUAACUACGUG